CACAUGCAAGUCGAACGAGACCUUCGGGUCUAGUGGCGCACGGGUGCGUAACACGUGGGAAUUUGCCUCGGGGUAUGGAAUAACUCAGGGAAACUUGAGCUAAUACCAUAUAAUGUCUUCGGACCAAAGAUUUAUCGCCCUGAGAUAAGCCCGCGUAGGAUUAGCUAGUUGGUGAGGUAAAGGCUCACCAAGGCGACGAUCCUUAGCUGGUCUGAGAGGAUGAUCAGCCACACUGGGACUGAGACACGGCCCAGACUCCUACGGGAGGCAACAGUGGGGGAAUAUUGGACAAUGGGCGAAAGCCUGAUCCAGCAAUGCCGCGUGAGUGAUGAAGGCCUUCGGGUUGUAAAGCUCUUUUACUCGGGACGAUAAUGACGGUACCGAGAGAAUAAGCCCCGGCUAACUCCGUG
RNAcentral lists this ribosomal RNA (410 nucleotides) under uncultured bacterium. RNAcentral describes it as "bacterial SSU rRNA". It matches the Rfam family "Bacterial small subunit ribosomal RNA", at positions 52 to 507 of the family's 1533-position model. The record is from RNAcentral.